UGGGGAAUAUUGGACAAUGGGGGCAACCCUGAUCCAGCAAUGCCGCGUGUGUGAAGAAGGUCUUCGGAUUGUAAAGCACUUUCGACGGGGACGAUGAUGACGGUACCCGUAGAAGAAGCCCCGGCUAACUUCGUGCCAGCAGCCGCGGUAAUACGAAGGGGGCUAGCGUUGCUCGGAAUGACUGGGCGUAAAGGGCGUGUAGGCGGUUUACACAGUCAGAUGUGAAAUCCCCGGGCUUAACCUGGGAGCUGCAUUUGAUACGUGUAGACUAGAGUGUGAGAGAGGGUUGUGGAAUUCCCAGUGUAGAGGUGAAAUUCGUAGAUAUUGGGAAGAACACCGGUGGCGAAGGCGGCAACCUGGCUCAUGACUGACGCUGAGCGCGAAAGCGUGGGGAGCAAACAGGAUUAGAUACCCUGGUAGUCCACGCUGUAAACGAUGUGUGCUAGAUGUUGGGUAACUUUGUUAUUCAGUGUCGC
This 476-nucleotide ribosomal RNA is filed under the name uncultured bacterium. Its description in RNAcentral is "partial 16S ribosomal RNA". It matches the Rfam family "Bacterial small subunit ribosomal RNA", at positions 355 to 849 of the family's 1533-position model. The record is from RNAcentral.